CACCUGUUUAAUCAAAAACAUUUCUUUAAGAAGUAAUUUAAAGUAAAGCCUGCUCAAUGACAAGAAUAAAUAGCCGCAGUAUUACUGUGCUAAGGUAGCAUAAUAACUUGCUUCUUAAUUAGGAGAUCGCAUGAAGGGUUAUACAUUAGGAUCCUGUCUCUUUUAACCAAAUAAACUUAAGUAAAAAGUAAAAACUCUUUUAACCAAAGCGGGACGACAAGACCCUGACAAACUUAACAUUUAGUUGGGGAAACAAAAUAAUAAAUAUUUAUUCAUAACUUAAACAUAACUUUAAAAUAAAAACAAGACUAGUUACUGCAGGGAUAACAGCGUUAUUUCUUUUAAGAGCUCUGAUCUAAAAAGAAGAUUACGACCUCGAUGUUGAAUUAAUUCCGCUAUACGGGUGCAACAACCCUAUAAGGUA
This 424-nucleotide ribosomal RNA is filed under the name Pholcus phalangioides (longbodied cellar spider). RNAcentral's name for it is "partial 16S ribosomal RNA". It matches the Rfam family "Bacterial large subunit ribosomal RNA", at positions 1797 to 2573 of the family's 2925-position model. Lineage: Eukaryota; Metazoa; Arthropoda; Arachnida; Araneae; Pholcidae. The record is from RNAcentral.